This 151-nucleotide unclassified non-coding RNA is filed under the name uncultured Teichosporaceae. Its description in RNAcentral is "sequence contains ITS2". Lineage: Eukaryota; Fungi; Ascomycota; Dothideomycetes; Pleosporales; Teichosporaceae. The record is from RNAcentral.
ACACCCUCAAGCUCUGCUUGGUGUUGGGCGUCUGUCCCGCUUCCCGCGUGGACUCGCCCCAAAGCGAUUGGCGGCCGGCACCGUAGCCCGGAGUGCAGCAGAAUUGCGCUCCUCGCCCGCGUGCCUCCCCCCAGAAGCGAACCUUUUAUUU